AUUGAACGCUGGCGGCAUGCUUUACACAUGCAAGUCGAACGGCAGCGGGUCCUUCGGGAUGCCGGCGAGUGGCGAACGGGUGAGUAAUAUAUCGGAACGUGUCCUGAAGUGGGGGAUAACGCAUCGAAAGAUGCGCUAAUACCGCAUAAUCUCUGAGGAGAAAAGUGGGGGAUCGAAAGACCUCAUGCUUUUGGAGCGGCCGAUGUCUGAUUAGCUAGUUGGUAGGGUAAUGGCCUACCAAGGCGACGAUCAGUAGUUGGUCUGAGAGGAUGGCCAGCCACACUGGGACUGAGACACGGCCCAGACUCCUACGGGAGGCAGCAGUGGGGAAUUUUGGACAAUGGGCGCAAGCCUGAUCCAGCAAUGCCGCGUGAGUGAAGAA
RNAcentral lists this ribosomal RNA (382 nucleotides) under uncultured bacterium. RNAcentral describes it as "bacterial SSU rRNA". It matches the Rfam family "Bacterial small subunit ribosomal RNA", at positions 30 to 412 of the family's 1533-position model. The record is from RNAcentral.